This 426-nucleotide ribosomal RNA is filed under the name uncultured Actinomycetes bacterium. RNAcentral describes it as "bacterial SSU rRNA". It matches the Rfam family "Bacterial small subunit ribosomal RNA", at positions 233 to 671 of the family's 1533-position model. The record is from RNAcentral. Lineage: Bacteria; Bacillati; Actinomycetota; Actinomycetes.
GCGGCCUAUCAGCUUGUUGGUGAGGUAAAGGCUCACCAAGGCGACGACGGGUAGCCGGCCUGAGAGGGCGACCGGCCACACUGGGACUGAGACACGGCCCAGACUCCUACGGGAGGCAGCAGUGGGGAAUAUUGGGCAAUGGAGGAAACUCUGACCCAGCGACGCCGCGUGCGGGAUGAAGGCCUUCGGGUUGUAAACCGCUUUCAGUAGGGAAGAAGCGAAAGUGACGGUACCUACAAAAGAAGCACCGGCUAACUAUGUGCCAGCAGCCGCGGUAAUACAUAGGGUGCAAGCGUUGUCCGGAAUUAUUGGGCGUAAAGAGCUCGUAGGUGGUUCGUCACGUCGGAUGUGAAAAUCUGGGGCUUAACCCCAGACCUGCAUUCGAUACGGGCGAGCUAGAGUGUGGUAGGGGAGACUGGAAUUCCU